UUUUUUUUAUAAUCUCUACAAGCUCAAGCCAACGCAUGCAGUACCUUAAAAUUCUCUCUCUCACCCCAAAUAGUAUCAUAACCGGAGAUAGUUUUUGGGUUUGCUCAACAAUGACACUAAAGGGAAUUCAAGUAACCAUUUAUUUGUCGUCGAAUUCGAUACAACACAAGGAUUCAAAGAUGGCUAUGACAGAACAUGCAACCAUAUAGGCAUUAACUACAAUAAUCUCAAACCAAAAAAAAGUAAAAA
RNAcentral lists this small RNA (249 nucleotides) under Arabidopsis thaliana (thale cress). Its description in RNAcentral is "ATSL048300". Lineage: Eukaryota; Viridiplantae; Streptophyta; Magnoliopsida; Brassicales; Brassicaceae. The record is from RNAcentral.